RNAcentral lists this ribosomal RNA (481 nucleotides) under uncultured bacterium. Its description in RNAcentral is "partial 16S ribosomal RNA". It matches the Rfam family "Bacterial small subunit ribosomal RNA", at positions 28 to 507 of the family's 1533-position model. The record is from RNAcentral.
GAUGAACGCUGGCGGCGUGCUUAACACAUGCAAGUCGAACGAAGCAUUUGCGACAGAUUUUUUCGGAAUGAAGUUGCUUAUGACUGAGUGGCGGACGGGUGAGUAACGCGUGGGUAACCUGCCUUGUACUGGGGGAUGGCAGCUGGAAACGGCUGGUAAUGCCGCAUACGCGCACAAGGUUGCAUGAAAUGGUUGGAACAGCUCGGGUGGUAUAAGAUGGCCCCGCGUUUGAUUAGCUAGUUGGGGAGAUCACAGCCCACAAAGGGGACGAGCAGUGGCAGACUGGGGAGGAGGACCGGCCAAAUUGGGACUGAGACACGGCCCAGACUCCUACUGGAGGCAGCAGGGGGGAAUAUUGCACAAUGGAGGAAACUCUGAUGCAGCGACGCCGCGUGAGUGAAUAAGUAAUUCGUUAUGUAGAGCUCUAUCAGCAGGGAGGAUAGUGACGGUACCUGACUAAGAAGCGCCGGCUAAAUACGUG